AGGCCUGGGAGAGAAGCAGGGCUUGAUCUGUAGCCUCCGUGGCAGCUGUUGAUCAACCCUUGCCUCUCUCUUUCUCUCUG
This is a non-coding RNA of Myotis brandtii (Brandt's bat), 80 nucleotides long. The record is from Rfam. NCBI's taxonomy places the organism in Eukaryota, Metazoa, Chordata, Mammalia, Chiroptera, Vespertilionidae.